Molecule: ribosomal RNA, 253 nt
Filed under: uncultured bacterium
Lineage: Bacteria
Description: partial 16S ribosomal RNA
Rfam family: Bacterial small subunit ribosomal RNA
Source: RNAcentral
UACGUAGGGGGCAAGCGUUGUCCGGAUUUAUUGGGCGUAAAGAGCGUGUAGGCGGCCGUACAGGUCAGCUGUGAAAACUCGAGGCUCAACCUCGAGACGUCGGUUGAAACCGUUUGGCUAGAGUCCGGAAGAGGAGAGUGGAAUUCCCGGUGUAGCGGUGAAAUGCGCAGAUAUCGGGAAGAACACCCGUGGCGAAGGCGGCUCUCUGGGACGGUACUGACGCUGAGACGCGAAAGCGUGGGGAGCGAACAGG